Molecule: ribosomal RNA, 497 nt
Filed under: uncultured bacterium
Lineage: Bacteria
Description: partial 16S ribosomal RNA
Rfam family: Bacterial small subunit ribosomal RNA
Source: RNAcentral
GAUGAACGCUGGCGGCGUGCCUAAUACAUGCAAGUCGAGCGAACAGACGAGGAGCUUGCUCCUCUGACGUUAGCGGCGGACGGGUGAGUAACACGUGGAUCACCUACCUAUCAGACUGGGAUAACUUCGGGAAACCGGAGCUAAUACCGGAUAAUAUAUUGAACCGCAUGGUUCAAUAGUGAAAUACGGUUUUGCUGUAACUUAUAGAUGGAUCCGGGCCGUUUUAGCUAGUUGGUAAGGUAACGGGUUACGACGGCAACGAGGCGUAGCCGACCUGAGAGAGUGAUAGGCCACACUGGAACGGAGACAGCGUCAAGACGCCUACGGGAGGCAGCAGUAGGGAAUCGGCCGCAAUGGGCGAAAGCCUGACGGAGUAAGGGCGCGUGAGUUAUGACGGUCUCCGGAUCGGAAAACUCUCUUAUUAGGGAAGAACAAAUGUGUAAGGAACUAUGGACGGCUUGACGGUAACUAAUCAGAAAGCCACGGCUAACUACGUG